UGCCAGCAGCCGCGGUAAGACAGAGGGUGCAAACGUUGCUCGGAAUUACUGGGCGUAAAGCGCGUGUAGGCGGAUCGGAGAGUCGGGUGUGAAAUCCCUGGGCUCAACCUAGGAACUGCAUCCGAAACUUCCGAUCUAGAGUGUCGGAGAGGAAAGCGGAAUUCCUGGUGUAGAGGUGAAAUUCGUAGAUAUCAGCGAGGAACACCGGUGGCGAAGGCGGCCUUCUGGACAGUGACUGACGCUGAGACGCGAAAGCGUGGGGAGCAAACAGGAUUAGAUA
This 280-nucleotide ribosomal RNA is filed under the name uncultured bacterium. RNAcentral's name for it is "partial 16S ribosomal RNA". It matches the Rfam family "Bacterial small subunit ribosomal RNA", at positions 506 to 784 of the family's 1533-position model. The record is from RNAcentral.